AUUGAACGCUGGCGGCAGGCCUAACACAUGCAAGUCGAACGGUAACAGGAAACAGCUUGCUGUUUCGCUGACGAGUGGCGGACGGGUGAGUAAUGUCUGGGAAACUGCCUGAUGGAGGGGGAUAACUACUGGAAACGGUAGCUAAUACCGCAUAACGUCGCAAGACCAAAGAGGGGGACCUUCGGGCCUCUUGCCAUCGGAUGUGCCCAGAUGGGAUUAGCUAGUAGGUGGGGUAACGGCUCACCUAGGCGACGAUCCCUAGCUGGUCUGAGAGGAUGACAAGCCACACUGGAAAUGAGACACGGUCCAGACUCCUACGGGAGGCAGCAGUGGGGAAUAUUGCACAAUGGGCGCAAGCCUGAUGCAGCCAUGCCGCGUGUAUGAAGAAGGCCUUCGGGUUGUAAAGUACUUUCAGCGGGGAGGAAGGGAGUAAAGUUAAUACCUUUGCUCAUUGACGUUACCCGCAGAAGAAGCACCGGCUAACUCCGUGCCAGCAGCCGCCGUAA
Molecule: ribosomal RNA, 506 nt
Filed under: uncultured bacterium
Lineage: Bacteria
Description: partial 16S ribosomal RNA
Rfam family: Bacterial small subunit ribosomal RNA
Source: RNAcentral